AUGUGUUACGGCUCUUCUAGAAUUUGUCUAGCAAGUUUUCUGGUGAAAAUUAAACUCAA
This 59-nucleotide small nuclear RNA is filed under the name Chlorocebus sabaeus (green monkey). RNAcentral's name for it is "U7 small nuclear RNA". It matches the Rfam family "U7 small nuclear RNA". Rfam says of the family: Animal histone pre-mRNAs are spliced by a different mechanism than nuclear pre-mRNAs and self-splicing introns. This processing involves the U7 snRNP, which contains only one RNA species: U7. The 5' end of U7 RNA is thought to base-pair to a conserved spacer element downstream of the cleavage site in histone pre-mRNA. Lineage: Eukaryota; Metazoa; Chordata; Mammalia; Primates; Cercopithecidae. The record is from Rfam by way of RNAcentral.